CACAAUUUCACUGGUAAAUUUUAUCCCUGAUGAAUUCAACUUUAAAAUGAGAAAGAGAGCCUGUCAAACACAGAAACAAGGGGGAUGAGAAAGCCAGCCUCUGACUAACACCCCAGCCAGGUUUAUGUAUGUACAAAACUCAUACUUGUAAGUACUUACUUAAUUGGGGAAAUUAUACUAAAGGAGAUCUCAACCUAAAAUGGCCAGAUUGGCAUCCUUUUGAUAUUCCAGAAUUGAUAUUUUUGUGUACACAGUCAGAAAAAGCUGGCUGUAAGAUCAAACAGACUAAAUGGAAUGCUUACUUUGAUUGGUAUCUGGAAGCUUCUAAAAGAGGAAAUGAUAGAGUAACUUCUUUGCAGGAAACCAACAAGAAAUUGCUUGAAACUAAAAAAAGGCCACUAGCUCUGACUCUGUCUCUCCCUCCCUGGCCCAGACACUAUCUCUUUUUCUCUUCUAACUCUUCCACUGCCUGUUGCUCUCUCUUCCCCAAUAUAGAAAAAAACAAAAAAAAUCAGAAGUGACUAUAGCUCCCUUUAAGGAGAUAUCUAUUGCAGGGAGAGGUGAACCAUCCUCAGUGCUUAUGUACACACACUGGACCUGAGCAGAACUUAGAGCCUUAGCUAAGACAACAAAUGCUAAAGGAUCUUCUCUAAGUGGGAAACACAAAAGAAAAGGACCUACAAAAACAAACCCCAAACAAUUAAGAAAAUGGUAACAAGAAAAUACAUAUCAAAUGUAAAUGGACUAAAUGCUCCAACCAAAAGACACAGACUGGCUGAAUGGAUACAAAAACAAGACCCAUAUAUAUGCUGUCUACAAGAGAACCACUUCAGACCUAGGGACACAUACAGACUGAAAGUGAGGGGAUGGAAAAAGAUAUUCCAUGCAAAUGGAAAUCACAAGAAAGCUGGAGUAGCAAUACUCAUAUUAGAUAGAACCUUAGCUAAGGAACUGCCCAAACCAAGUCAGGUUCUAUUGGGAUUUGCUAAGGAAUUUGAGUCGACCAUUCAGACCUAUGAGGCUGAGUUUUUCAGAUCUAUAUCAAUUAAUACAGCUGUCAGGUUCUGAAAGCAAAGGAAGGGAAUGGAUACAGAAAGCAAGAUGGAAACACCCCUUAAUGGAUUCUGGAUCACAGGUUCACAAUGAAUGCAAAGAAUUAGCUCAGAAAUUACUUGAACUUAUCCCAGCGCUUUUUUCAAAAACCGCAGACUGGACAAAGAUUCAGCAGUGCAAACAAAGACUGGAUGAAUCAAUUCCCAACUAUUAUGAAAGGUUUAAAAAAAAACUUUAAAGCAAUAUUCUGGCUUGACACUUGAAUCAUUCUUUAACCACCAUAAUGAUCCUUUGCUUAACUCCACCUUUUUAGGAGGCUUAGAUGAAGAUUUGGCUACUCUGGUCAAAAGACACAAUCUAGGUUGGUCCACAUUACAUACAAACACACUUGUAACACUGGUGGACCAACUUUUCAAGACCAUAUAAAAGAAAGAAAAGGGGAUAUCUAUGAAAAUUAUAAACCUUCAAUUGCGCCAGUUCAGUACUCAGUGCCAGCAGAAGGUUAACCAACCCCUGUUUAAUUCCCAACUGGUAGAGAAAGCUAGUUUGAAGAAAAAAAAACACACAAAAAAACACCUCUUCAGACCCUGAGGAAACAAGUCAUACUAGGAGAACUUGAUUUUCUCUCUCUGUGUCUUGAGACCAGAGCUGUCAGGAUCACUUAUCCUAUCUAGAUCAUCUCUAAUUCCUAAGACUUAAAAAAAAAAAAAAAAGGAGAAAAAAGUCUUCUUAAAUUAACCUAUUCCAACUGUUAUUUACAACUAUUGAGUUUUAUAUUGUGCUGAUUCAUGAUUAAGUUUAGAAAAUGAAGCUAUGAGAUCUCUUGUUGUAUCUGUCUAUAUGUUUAUAUGUGCAUUAUCUUUGUUUUUACCUUUGGAUGGUAUUAUCAAAAUUAACUUGUAAUUGAGCUCUACUGAAUUGGAUUAAAGAAGAUUAAGUGCUUAUGUAAAUUCUUGAAAAUGCAGAAGGUAACUGGCCAGAAUUAACUUCAGGUUCACAUGAACUGGAAAUAUUCUGUAUCCAAUUAAUACUUGGUAUUAAUGCUUAAGUUUAUUGAUUUCAUUAAUAUGGACAUGCCUUUAGAGUCAUCAACAGUAAGUAUAAUACUUUUAUUGUGCCUAGGUUUAAUAUAAGUUAAAUCAAAUCUUGUUAUAUCUGUUGCAAAUCUGUCAGCAAGGAUAGUAACUUUAUGUGAAGAAACUUUUAAGGAAAGAAAAUGUAAAUGAGAGGAGAUUUUAAGUAAACUCUAUUAAGAAUAAUUAUGUUUUAGGAAUGUCUAUCUAAAACAAUCUCUCCAUAUUUUGGCAACUUGAAAUUCUAGAGUAGUGCUAAAUUAAGUGAAGGAAGUUUAUUGAAUAGCUAGGUCAUUUCCAAAUAAAAUAAAAUACUGAAACACUAAUUACUGAAUACUGGCUUCCUCUUACAGAGAAACUAAACAUAUUUAGGACUAUUAAUGAGUAUGUUUGGUGCCACCCUGAGAUGUUCUCUAUAAGAAAGCAAAUGUUUUUAGAAAUUAUGACUGGUAUUUAUCUUCACCAAUCUACAGCAUGCUAAUGUAAAGGACAGUUCAUAAUUGCUUAAUUCUUAGCUUUCACAAAAAUUAGUGUUUUAUGAGCUGAGGAUUCUUAUUUAAACACGUAAUUAAAGCUAAUAGAAAUAAUAAAGGAAACAUUUCAGUAUACAGUGGGAAAGUAGGAUGUAUGUUUUCAGUAAAGAAGGCAUGAGGAAUGGAACUGCAUUUUAUUAAGGGAGAAGGAAGUAGGUCUGACUUAGAGCUGGCUGUUACUGGAUGGAAAAAUAAAGUGAUGAAUACAGAAAGUGAAAAAAAAAGGCUUGUGGAACGUGGACCCCAAGAAAAGAGUUUUGUGCAUGGUCAGGACUAAGGUUAAAAUAAAUUUGAGUAAAUGAAUUUUAAAAGUAAGCUGGUGCAAACCUUGAAUUUGGCCUUUCUCUCUGUUAACAGGAUAAGUUUUCUUAAGAUGUUGAACUCUGUUAACAGAUUUUACGUCUCUUUACCUCUUAAGUGAUCUGUUCUGUAUCUACCUUUCAAAUCUUUUAUUGUUACUUUGGAUAAAUGAAUAAUUAUUUUUUCAUUGUGACCUAUGAUCCUCUCUGAGUGUUCUAAACCCUUUUGAUAUUUUUUAUUUUGACAAAACUUCCUAAGUCAGAAUUUAAUGAAGUUCUUUUGACCUCUAGCUAAUUUGGGAUGCUUCAAAGGGCCCCUGAAACAUCCCAAAGAGCAAAAUUAAACUAAUUAGGUUCAUUUGGUAUGUCAAAUUACAUGAGAAGUAUUGUCAAAUGAGUAAUAAAUCUUCUUAGGUUAUACUGUAUGGUAAAUGUUAUUAAUAUAGAUAUUCUAGAAAUUAUAUGGAAUUCCUAAAAUUCUGAUAUGUCCUGGUAAAAUGUUAUCAGUCAUAAUUCUAGUUAUUAUCUUAAAGUGUUGUAUAUCACAGCAGUAAUCAAGUUACAUUGUCAACUGCACUGCAUUGUAAUUAAAUUUUAAAUAUGCCUUCUUAAGUCUUUGUCAUUACAGGAAGUUAUGGUUUUUAUUCUGAUCCCUUUGCAAAAUGCUUCCUCUUCAAGAAGAUUUAUAGAAAGGACUUUUGGAUAAACACAAGUCUCUGACUUUCAGACCAUAAUGCUAAACUGGGUAACAAAGUGAAGAAUUCUAAUGGAAAACAUGAUGGCUUCAUAAAAUGUUAACAAAAGGACUGAGUGAACUGAGACUGGAAGCUCAGGUUCCCAGCAACUUUAUCAGACAAAACAGGAAGGCUACCUCCUAACAUGUACAGAAAGCUCAAGAUCAGAUGCCCCAUGACCUGCAACCAGGGGAUUAUGCGUAAUGGAAAAGACAUAAUUUAAAGAACUAUCUCCAACCUAGAUGGAAGGACCCUUAUCAGGUACCCUUAACUAGCUCAUGCACAGUGAAACUGAAGGGAAUUGACUCUUGGGUUAGUUCCCACUUACAAAAGGCCCCUGCACGAGACUGGUUUACAGAGAGGACUAUUGACCUCAAACACACCUUAAAACAAUGCUCAUACAGAAGAAACUACCGUCCUGCUAAGACAAGAAGACGACAUCAGUAGAAGACAGCUAGCCCAAGAUCCUCGACCUGACUCAUAUGAUCAUCUGUAAUGUUUUCUUGACUUCUUGGACCUUUGUGAAUCAAAUGUUUUUCUUUCACGGACAUUACCCUAUGCUAGUUUUAAAAAUCAAUCCAAUUGUUGGGUUUGUGGCCAAUUACCUAUGUCUAGUACUUCUGGGUUACAUUGGUGGACUUCUCCACUCUAAGGCUUUAAUUGGAUGGCCCUUAGGAAAUUUAUUCUAGAAGAAAGAAAUUAUAGUCCUGUUCAGACAACUAUUGGUAUACUAGGUAGGAUCCCCUCACUUAGCCAAUUAAUAAUACCUGCUCUGACCCUGACCAUAAAUAUGAAUUUUCGUGUAAAGUAACUCAAGCUCACUCAGAGCAACAAGCAAAAUUUCAGCCAAGGAAUUAAACCUGCCACAGUUAUGGGAUGGGUUUAUGUGGUUAACAUCAGGCUACGGUCAUUUAGUUUUAAGGUCCCCCUUUAUCUUGGGAACAAUUAAAUUAUACUAAGGAUAACCAGCCUAGUAACAUUAGGAAAUUGGACUGGGAGCCUUAUGGCCAGUGCCAAUAUAUAAUUUCCAUGGAAGAUAAGGACUGGUACAGAACAGACUAAGUCAAAUGACCUGGGGAUAUACUGGGCUGCACCUAAUGGAAGUUCUUGGCUUAAUUCUUACUUAUGACUUUAAUAAUACUGCUAGCUAUGCUAUCUGUAUUCUGCCCAUUUUACAAGAUUGCUGUUUCUUGCAUUACCAAAUGUGUGACUGAGCCUCCAACAAAAAUAUAUAAUUCUGUAUGAAAUCAAUGAUCGUAAUAGUGUAAUUCUAGAUAUGGGAAGAUGCAAUAAGAGGGAAUUUUUCCUGGCCUGUAACAGACUAGUAAGACAGGUGGUCCAGAGACUUUUGGGUACUGUUAGUGAGGCCUAGUCCAGUAAUAGCACACUGAGUGGCCUAUCAGUGAAAUCUUUGCCAGACCUGAGGAUGAGCCUUCCUAGCACUGUGGGAUAAAAUGGUCAUGAAAUGCCUCCCAAACCAUGGUCGAAUUUAUGACCAUGAGCUGGCCCUGUCACCCUCAAAUUGGCACCUGCCAUCUACCUCUACAAGGAUCAAAUUAUAAGUCACUAUAGCUGCUGACCUUCAACACCCCCUGAAAGGAGUUCAGGGUGGAGACCAGGAACGAGGCACUCUGUGCUCUGGGAAAAACAGGCAGAACAGGCCUUCAGACAGUUAGAUAUUUUCAGGAGAUGAUUUAUGAGCCCAAUUCUUGCAUCUCCUCAGAUCUAGAAAACCACUAAAAUCCUUCAUGGUAACAUCUGCUCCUCGUGACUAGCAGUAACAUAACCUCCACAAGAGUAGCAGAAACCUUCUGCAAAACAAUAUGUGCUUGAUUACAUGUAGUCCCCUUUAGCAAAAUCACAUAUAUACUGACCUCCUCCCCUUCCUCUUUGGAGCAGUUUCUCAGAGCUAUCUGAAAUGCUAUCUCCUGGGCUAUAGUCCUCAUUUUGCCCCAAAUAAAACUUAACUCACAACUCUCAUGUUGUGCAUUUUUUUUCAGUCAACAAACUCUUAAAACACCAAAUUCGUGGCUGGAAUAAUGCUAAGAAUGCCUACUACUGAGCUAGUA
Long non-coding RNA from Hippopotamus amphibius kiboko, 5761 nucleotides. RefSeq lists it as uncharacterized. The transcript has 3 exons. The record is from RefSeq and is a predicted model, not a curated record. Lineage: Eukaryota; Metazoa; Chordata; Mammalia; Artiodactyla; Hippopotamidae.